GAUACCACACGGUUCCACCACCCUCUGGCAAGUCGCGACAAUGGAUGCCGCUCCACUCCCCGCAACAGACUCCACGUGGCACAUCCCGGUGAUGGCCACGAUCCCACUCCAUUACUCUCCGCAAUAAACUUCUCUUGACCCUGGGCAGCCCACUACCAGAUGGUUACAGACAUCGCUAUCAGUCUGUUGCCCCCUCCACCUAUAAAAAGGGGACCCC
Molecule: long non-coding RNA, 217 nt
Filed under: Elaeis guineensis (African oil palm)
Lineage: Eukaryota; Viridiplantae; Streptophyta; Magnoliopsida; Arecales; Arecaceae
Description: long non-coding RNA (EGUI_LNC052966)
Source: RNAcentral